GCGUACAUAAUACACUUUAAUACAUAGUACAAUUUUUUUUUUUUUUGGUAAUUAGGAUAGUUAUAUUAUAUUAGCUUCAUAACAAAAACUACAGGGAGGAGCUUGGUAGCAUAGCCAUCGUAGUAUCUGCACGUAGUGUAAUAUUUACAGACCAUCCAUUUGAGUCUACCGUACAACUAGUAGGAAUAUUAACAGAAACACUAGGCGGCAAAACUGCUGCAGAUUUAACACACCUAGUAGCAAGAUCUCCUCGCAUAUCAGCUUGCAAAAACUUCAUCAAGUCCUGAGGAGGUGACCAAAAAGUGGAUAUAGUAUCCAUAACCGAAGUACUAUUAUAUAAACUGGAUGGUAGUGCAGUAGAGACAUUUUUUUUUGUUAGGCUAUCAGCUAACCUGUUUUGCUCCUUGUAGACCGAACUCACCAUCGGAUUACCCAUCUGUAGGAGCAGAUACCUGCAGUCAUCCAAAAGCAAAAAGCUAUCAGUAAAAUUAUUAGCACUUGUUAACAUGGUUGCAAUUUGCUUAGCAUCCACAUUUAUUUCGAGAGAUUUGAAAUUAUGUUUAACAGCUAGCCGCAAUCCUGCAAAAAAUGCUAAAAGUUCUAGUUGAGUUAUGUCCUGAACAGUUGUAAAAGCAGUAAAACCCAUAACCCAUUUGCUCUUGAAAUUGCGGAAAACCCCCCUAGACCGCCAAUACUAUGCUCAGAAGAUACAACAACAUCGGUAUUUAACAUGAGGUUGCUACUUUUAGGAGGGUUCCAUUUGACAUAAAUAGUGAUGGGAAUACUGGGAGUAUGUGAGUUCCUUACCAAAUACCAAUAUCCCGCAGUUGUAUUAAUAGUCAAAAAUGGUGAUAGUUCAGUCCCAUGUCCAUCAAAAAGACACUUAUUACAUUGGGUCCAAAUAACCCACAAGCAGUAGGGGAGUAGGACUCCCAGCGGUAAAAGGGGAGAAGUGGAAGCCUAUCUAUUAACGUUAUCUUUAAGUCAAGAGAGAAAGAUAUAAGGAGCGUACGAGUAUUGCAGGGGCAACGUGAGGGACGGACCCAAGCCUAUUGAAAUACUAAGCUUUUCCCAGAAAUAGCCCAGUCCCGAGCACGAAAAGAACAAGUGAUAUGAAGUCUCGGGUACUCCCUGUUGACAAAGUCUACAGAUAGGCGACUGCAGGCAUGAAAUGUGGUGCAAGUAAGCAGAAUUAGGAAGCCUAUUCAGACUUAACAACCACAAAAAAUAUUUAAUCUUAGGGGCAAUACUUAGAUUUCAUAACCAGCAACUAUAAGUUUGAAGUGUAGGAUUAUUUUCAUUAGAUUUGAUUUGGUUGUAGCAAGAUUAGACAGUAAACCUUCUCGUGGGUGUAAGUCCCCAUUUAGUACGAUCGUAAGCAUUUGCAGAAGUAGGGAAGUGAACGGUAAAUAUUUGACUAGUCA
This 1424-nucleotide long non-coding RNA is filed under the name Capsicum annuum. RNAcentral's name for it is "long non-coding RNA (CANN_LNC017194)". The record is from RNAcentral. Lineage: Eukaryota; Viridiplantae; Streptophyta; Magnoliopsida; Solanales; Solanaceae.